RNAcentral lists this ribosomal RNA (406 nucleotides) under uncultured bacterium. RNAcentral's name for it is "partial 16S ribosomal RNA". It matches the Rfam family "Bacterial small subunit ribosomal RNA", at positions 30 to 526 of the family's 1533-position model. The record is from RNAcentral.
AUUGAACGCUGGCGGCAGGCCUAACACAUGCAAGUCGAACGAGUGGCGGACGGGUGAGUAAUGUCUGGGAAACUGCCUGAUGGAGCGGGAUAACUACUGGAAACGGUAGCUAAUCCCGCAUACCAUCGAAUGUGCCCAGAUUGGAUUAGCUAGUAGGUGGGGUAAAGGCUCACCUAGGCGAAGAGCCCUAGCUGGUCUGAGAGGAGGACCAGCCACACGGGGACUGAGACACGGUCCAGACUCCUACGGGAGGAAGCAGUGGGGAAUAUUGCACAAUGGGCGCAAGCCUGAUGCAGCCAUGCGGCGUGUAUGAAGAAGGCCUUCGGGUUGUAAAGUUCUUUCAGCGGGGAGGCGUUACCCGCAGAAGAAGCACCGGCUAACUCCGUGCCAGCAGCCGCGGUAAUUC